AUGAACGCUGGCGGCGUGCCUAAUACAUGCAAGUCGAGCGAACAGACGAGGAGCUUGCUCCUCUGACGUUAGCGGCGGACGGGUGAGUAACACGUGGAUAACCUACCUAUAAGACUGGGAUAACUUCGGGAAACCGGAGCUAAUACCGGAUAAUAUAUUGAACCGCAUGGUUCAAUAGUGAAAGACGGUUUUGCUGUCACUUAUAGAUGGAUCCGCGCCGCAUUAGCUAGUUGGUAAGGUAACGGCUUACCAAGGCAACGAUGCGUAGCCGACCUGAGAGGGUGAUCGGCCACACUGGAACUGAGACACGGUCCAGACUCCUACGGGAGGCAGCAGUAGGGAAUCUUCCGCAAUGGGCGAAAGCCUGACGGAGCAACGCCGCGUGAGUGAUGAAGGUCUUCGGAUCGUAAAACUCUGUUAUUAGGGAAGAACAAAUGUGUAAGUAGCUAUGCACGUCUUGACGGUACCUAAUCAGAAAGCCACGGCUAACUACG
This 494-nucleotide ribosomal RNA is filed under the name uncultured bacterium. Its description in RNAcentral is "partial 16S ribosomal RNA". It matches the Rfam family "Bacterial small subunit ribosomal RNA", at positions 29 to 505 of the family's 1533-position model. The record is from RNAcentral.